This 400-nucleotide ribosomal RNA is filed under the name Diachea bulbillosa. RNAcentral describes it as "SSU rRNA". It matches the Rfam family "Eukaryotic small subunit ribosomal RNA", at positions 43 to 380 of the family's 1831-position model. The record is from RNAcentral. Lineage: Eukaryota; Evosea; Eumycetozoa; Stemonitida; Stemonitidae.
CAGAACUAAGUCAUGCAUGCCUUCGAAUAAGAGGAAGCAAUUCUCUCUGAAUCUGCGAACGGCUCCGCAAACCAGUUGUAAACUAUAGCAAGUACGCUCGGGUCCUGGCUUCACGGCUAGGGCUCGGGUAAUACGGAUACCCCUGGUAAUUCUGAGGCUAAUACGAGAUCGUAACCCCUGGCUAACCGGGCAACUGGAAGGCUGGGGAACGUGUGACCGCGUACGAGGAAUAACCGGGAAUGGGCGCACGUUCAGACCGCGCUACAAAGGAUGGGAUUGCCGACCUCACGGAAGGUAGUCUCGCCCCAGCGGCUCUUGCGUUGUGCUUCUGACCUAUCAACUAGAUGGCAGCGUAACGGACAUGCUAUGGUGACAACGGGUACAGAGGUUUAGGGUUCGA